CCUACGGGUGGCAGCAGUAGGGAAUCUUUCACAAUGGGCGAAAGCCUGAUGGAGCAACGCCGCGUGCAGGAUGAAGGCCUUCGGGUUGUAAACUGCUUUUAUAAGCGAGAAAUAUGAUGGUAACUUAUGAAUAAGGAUCGGCUAACUACGUGCCAGCAGCCGCGGUCAUACGUAGGAUCCGAGCAUUAUCCGGAGUGACUGGGGGUAAAGAGUUGCGUAGGUGGCAUAAUAAGUAGCUAGUGAAAUCUGGUGGCUCAACCAUUCAGACUAUUAGCUAAACUGUUAAUCUCGAGACCGUUAGGGGUAACUGGAAUUUCUAGUGUAGGAGUGAAAUCCGGAGAUAUUAGAAGGAACACCAAUAGCGUAGGCAGGUUGCUGGGACGGUUCUGACACUAAGGCACGAAAGCGUAGGGAGCAAACGGGAUUAGAUACCCUAGUAGUC
This 442-nucleotide ribosomal RNA is filed under the name uncultured bacterium. RNAcentral describes it as "partial 16S ribosomal RNA". It matches the Rfam family "Bacterial small subunit ribosomal RNA", at positions 338 to 795 of the family's 1533-position model. The record is from RNAcentral.